CGAACGGGUGAGUAACGCGUGAGGAACCUGCCUCAAAGAGGGGGACGACAGUUGGAAACGACUGCUAAUACCGCAUAAGCCCACGGGUCGGCAUCGACCUGAGGGAAAAGGAGCAAUCCGCUUUGAGAUGGCCUCGCGUCCGAUUAGCUAGUUGGUGAGGUAAUGGCCCACCAAGGCGACGAUCGGUAGCCGGACUGAGAGGUUGAACGGCCACAUUGGGACUGAGACACGGCCCAG
RNAcentral lists this ribosomal RNA (237 nucleotides) under uncultured bacterium. Its description in RNAcentral is "partial 16S ribosomal RNA". It matches the Rfam family "Bacterial small subunit ribosomal RNA", at positions 99 to 334 of the family's 1533-position model. The record is from RNAcentral.